ACGAACGCUGGCGGCGUGCUUAACACAUGCAAGUCGAACGGAAAGGCCCUGCUUUUGUGGGGUGCUCGAGUGGCGAACGGGUGAGUAACACGUGAGUAACCUGCCCUUGACUUUGGGAUAACUUCAGGAAACUGGGGCUAAUACCGGAUAGGAGCUCCUGCUGCAUGGUGGGGGUUGGAAAGUUUCGGCGGUUGGGGAUGGACUCGCGGCUUAUCAGCUUGUUGGUGGGGUAGUGGCUUACCAAGGCUUUGACGGGUAGCCGGCCUGAGAGGGUGACCGGCAACAUUGGGACUGAGAUACGGCCCAGACUCCUACGGGAGGCAGCAGUGGGGAAUAUUGCACAAUGGGCGGAAGCCUGAUGCAGCAACGCCGCGUGCGGGAUGACGGCCUUCGGGUUGUAAACCGCUUUCGCCUGUGACGAAGCGUGAGUGACGGUAAUGGGUAAAGAAGCACCGGCUAACUACGUG
Molecule: ribosomal RNA, 467 nt
Filed under: uncultured bacterium
Lineage: Bacteria
Description: partial 16S ribosomal RNA
Rfam family: Bacterial small subunit ribosomal RNA
Source: RNAcentral